RNAcentral lists this ribosomal RNA (484 nucleotides) under uncultured bacterium. RNAcentral's name for it is "partial 16S ribosomal RNA". It matches the Rfam family "Bacterial small subunit ribosomal RNA", at positions 30 to 507 of the family's 1533-position model. The record is from RNAcentral.
AUUGAACGCUGGCGGCAGGCCUAACACAUGCAAGUCGAGCGGAUGAAGGGAGCUUGCUCCUGGAUUCAGCGGCGGACGGGUGAGUAAUGCCUAGGAAUCUGCCUGGUAGUGGGGGAUAACGUCCGGAAACGGGCGCUAAUACCGCAUACGUCCUGAGUGAGAAAGUGGGGGAUCUUCGGACCUCACGCUAUCAGAUGAGCCUAGGUCGGAUUAGCUAGUUGGUGGGGUAAAGGCCUACCAAGGCGACGAUCCGUAACUGGUCUGAGAGGAUGAUCAGUCACACUGGAACUGAGACACGGUCCAGACUCCUACGGGAGGCAGCAGUGGGGAAUAUUGGACAAUGGGCGAAAGCCUGAUCCAGCCAUGCCGCGUGUGUGAAGAAGGUCUUCGGAUUGUAAAGCACUUUAAGUUGGGAGGAAGGGCAGUAAGUUAAUACCUUACUGUUUUGACGUUACCAACAGAAUAAGCACCGGCUAACUUCGUG